UACGUAGGGUGCAAGCGUUGUCCGGAAUUAUUGGGCGUAAAGAGCUCGUAGGCGGUUUGUCGCGUCGAAUGUGAAAACCCGGGGCUCAACCCCGGGCCUGCAUUCGAUACGGGCAGACUAGAGUUCGGUAGGGGAGUCUGGAAUUCCUGGUGUAGCGGUGAAAUGCGCAGAUAUCAGGAGGAACACCGGGUGGCGAAGGCGGGACUCUGGGGCCGAUACUGACGCUGAGGAGCGAAAGCGUGGGGGAGCGAACAGG
Molecule: ribosomal RNA, 256 nt
Filed under: uncultured bacterium
Lineage: Bacteria
Description: partial 16S ribosomal RNA
Rfam family: Bacterial small subunit ribosomal RNA
Source: RNAcentral